AUGAAGUCUCUUAUUCUAAAUGUGGUAUGCUCCAAGUUUUUGGGGUCUAAAACCAAUAUUCUGUCAUCCCAAGCCCCAACAUGCUCUUUCAAUGAAGAUGCAAAAAAUUUGAGGGAUUUUCAUGAGUUUUUGAAGAUGAUAUGCAAAAACCAGUUGAAGCUUGUGGUGAACCAGAUUUUUAGUUUCCACUUGAAGAAGGGUCAACCUCGGAUGAACUUGGAAACAUAUCUUUGUUGCUGUAAGGCACUUACUUGCUGAUAUGACUCAACUGUGUAACCAAGGUUGUCUGGUUUUGUUAAUGUGGAGGAGCCCCCACCUUGAGGAGAGUGGAUGUCUGUCUUGUCACAGUCAAGGAAAAAAAAAGGUUAUCGGUUAGAUAGCUGCUACAAAGUUUUUGAGCAAAAUGGAAGCAAAGAGAGGACUGUCGGCUUUAGGAGGUACACGAUGGCUGAUAGAGAUAUCGCAACGAACUUGACCCGAUUUUGCUGGUUCUUAAAUUUCUGUGAGCUUUAUUGACUGGUAUUAGUGGAACUUCAAAGUGGAAUCACUGGACGUCCAUUCCGGCAUGAUUAGGCAUUCAAACGGACUGCUAAUGCACGUAUAUAUACAUCCGAGGUGAUGACAACAGUGCCACUGCAAAAAAGGGAGGGAUAAGGGGAGCUGUCGGCAAGGCCAAGUAAUGUUGACUGCUCACCAACCAUAGAGGCGGCUCUUUUUUCUUUCUUUUUUUUUGUUAUACCCCUAUGGUAUGGCCUUUUUAUUGUUCAUUCCACUAAUUUAUUUAUUUUUUCUUUAAUAAAAAGGGGAAGAAAAGUAUAAUCAUUAAGUAUAGGACAAAGAGGAGGACCCUCUUUCUUAUACAAAGAAUCUUGACACUUUCAUGUUACGCCAUGAUUAACUUUUUUUUCUCUUUUUCAGUAUAAUCACAGGUGUUUUCAUCUGUUUUACUAUUUAACAGUAAAAACUGUAUGAGUUAAGGAUGAUAUUCAGUUAAAAGACUUCCCAAUAAUGUUAACUGUAAUAUCUGAACUUGGUUCAAA
Molecule: long non-coding RNA, 1040 nt
Organism: Gossypium arboreum
Lineage: Eukaryota; Viridiplantae; Streptophyta; Magnoliopsida; Malvales; Malvaceae
Exons: 5
Source: RefSeq, a predicted model, not a curated record